This 493-nucleotide ribosomal RNA is filed under the name uncultured bacterium. Its description in RNAcentral is "bacterial SSU rRNA". It matches the Rfam family "Bacterial small subunit ribosomal RNA", at positions 903 to 1397 of the family's 1533-position model. The record is from RNAcentral.
AAAUGAAUAGACGGGGGCCCGCACAAGCGGUGGAGCAUGUGGCUUAAUUCGAUGCAACGCGAAGAACCUUACCUGGGCUAAAUCCAUGGCGACCGCUCCUGAAAGGGAGCUUCCCUUCGGGGCGCUAUGGAAGGUGCUGCAUGGCUGUCGUCAGCUCGUGCCGUGAGGUGUUGCCUUAAGUGGCGCAACGAGCGCAACCCCUGUGGUUAGUUACCAGCACGUAAUGGUGGGGACUCUAGCCAGACUGCCUACGCAAGUAGUGAGGAAGGUGGGGACGACGUCAAGUCAUCAUGGCCCUUACGUCCAGGGCUGCACACGUGCUACAAUGGAUGGUACAGUGGGAAGCCACCCGGCGACGGGGCGCAGAUCCCCAAAGCCAUUCUCAGUUCGGAUUGGAGUCUGCAACUCGACUCCAUGAAGGCGGAAUCGCUAGUAAUCGCGUAUCAGCAACGACGCGGUGAAUACGUUCCCGGGCCUUGUACACACCGCCCGU